Molecule: long non-coding RNA, 261 nt
Filed under: Gossypium barbadense (sea-island cotton)
Lineage: Eukaryota; Viridiplantae; Streptophyta; Magnoliopsida; Malvales; Malvaceae
Description: long non-coding RNA (GBAR_LNC000251)
Source: RNAcentral
GUCGGGGCGACAGAGCAAUCUAUUCUUAACCAGUGCCUCCUAGAUUUUCUGCAGCGGCGUCUUUUUUUCUGAAACACAUCUUCUGACUUGCCAUUCAUCUUCUUUCCCUACUGUGCUUACAUUCCCUUCAGUAUGGUUAGGGAACGGGUUCCCAGUUACAUUACUGGCACUAUCAAAUCGUAGGAUACCCGCAUCAAUUAACCUCUUAAAGGCUAGGCAAUUUUCCGUGGAAUGUCCCUGGUUUCCCGCAUGGUAUGCACA